Molecule: unclassified non-coding RNA, 379 nt
Filed under: uncultured Oligoflexales bacterium
Lineage: Bacteria; Pseudomonadati; Bdellovibrionota; Oligoflexia; Oligoflexales
Description: contains 16S-23S intergenic spacer region
Source: RNAcentral
UCCGUGUUAACCACGGCAGUCUCUUUAGAGUGCCCAACUGAAUGAUGGCAACUAAAGACAAGGGUUGCGCUCGUUGCGGGACUUAACCCAACAUGUCACCACACGAGCUGACGACAGCCAUGCAGCACCUGUCUCUCUGUCGUAUUGCUACGAAAGUACUAUCUCUAGUAUUGUCAGAGGAUGUCAAAUGUAGGUAAGGUUUUUCGCGUUGCUUCGAAUUAAACCACAUGAUCCACUGCUUGUGCGGGCCCCCGUCAAUUCCUUUGAGUUUUAAUCUUGCGACCGUACUUCCCAGGCGGGGUACUUAUUGCGUUAGCUACGGCUCAGCAGGGGUCAAGACCCGCCAAACCUAGUACCCAUCGUUUACAGCGUGGACUAC